Molecule: ribosomal RNA, 232 nt
Filed under: uncultured bacterium
Lineage: Bacteria
Description: partial 16S ribosomal RNA
Rfam family: Bacterial small subunit ribosomal RNA
Source: RNAcentral
UCGGAAUUACUGGGCGUAAAGCGCACGUAGGCGGGUUUGUUAGUCAGGGGGGAAAUCCCGGGGCUCAACCUCGGAACUGCCUUUGAUACUGCAAAUCUCGAGUCCGAUAGAGGUGGGUGGAAUUCCUAGUGUAGAGGUGAAAUUCGUAGAUAUUAGGAAGAACACCGGUGGCGAAGGCGGCCCACUGGAUCGGUACUGACGCUGAGGUGCGAAAGCGUGGGGAGCGAACAGG